AGUGAACGCUGGCGGUAGGCCUAACACAUGCAAGUCGAACGGCAGCACAGGAGAGCUUGCUCUCUGGGUGGCGAGUGGCGGACGGGUGAGGAAUACAUCGGAAUCUACUCUGUCGUGGGGGAUAACGUAGGGAAACUUACGCUAAUACCGCAUACGACCUACGGGUGAAAGCAGGGGACCUUCGGGCCUUGCGCGAUUGAAUGAGCCGAUGUCGGAUUCGCUCGUUGGCGGGGUAAAGGCCCACCAAGGCGACGAUCCGUAGCUGGUCUGAGAGGAUGAUCAGCCACACUGGAACUGAGACGCGGUCCAGACGCCUACGGGAGGAAGCAGUGGGGAAUAUUGGACAAUGGGCGCAAGCCUGAUCCAGCCAUACCGCGUGGGGGAAGAAGGCCUUCGGGUUGUAAAGCCCCUUUGUUGGGAAAGAAAUCCAGCUGGCUAAUACCCGGUUGGGAUGACGGUACCCAAAGAAUAAGCACCGGCUAACUUCGUGCCAGCAGCCGCCGUAA
This 506-nucleotide ribosomal RNA is filed under the name uncultured bacterium. RNAcentral's name for it is "partial 16S ribosomal RNA". It matches the Rfam family "Bacterial small subunit ribosomal RNA", at positions 29 to 523 of the family's 1533-position model. The record is from RNAcentral.